Molecule: ribosomal RNA, 465 nt
Filed under: Vreelandella stevensii
Lineage: Bacteria; Pseudomonadati; Pseudomonadota; Gammaproteobacteria; Oceanospirillales; Halomonadaceae
Description: partial 16S ribosomal RNA
Rfam family: Bacterial small subunit ribosomal RNA
Source: RNAcentral
CCUACGGGUGGCAGCAGUGGGGAAUAUUGGACAAUGGGCGAAAGCCUGAUCCAGCCAUGCCGCGUGUGUGAAGAAGGCCUUCGGGUUGUAAAGCACUUUCAGUGGGGAAGAAAGCCUUGGGGCUAAUACCCUCGAGGAAGGACAUCACCCACAGAAGAAGCACCGGCUAACUCCGUGCCAGCAGCCGCGGUAAUACGGAGGGUGCGAGCGUUAAUCGGAAUUACUGGGCGUAAAGCGCGCGUAGGCGGUCUGAUAAGCCGGUUGUGAAAGCCCCGGGCUCAACCUGGGAACGGCAUCCGGAACUGUCAGGCUAGAGUGCAGGAGAGGAAGGUAGAAUUCCCGGUGUAGCGGUGAAAUGCGUAGAGAUCGGGAGGAAUACCAGUGGCGAAGGCGGCCUUCUGGACUGACACUGACGCUGAGGUGCGAAAGCGUGGGUAGCAAGCAGGAUUAGAUACCCGGGUAGUC